CUGGUUUGAGAGGAUGAUCAGCCACACUGGGACUGAGACACGGCCCWGWCUCCUACGGGAGGCAGCAGUGGGGAAUAUUGCACAAUGGGCGCAAGCCUGAUGCAGCCAUGCCGCGUGUGUGAAGAAGGCUUCGGGUUGUAAAGCACUUUCAGUCAGGAGGAAAGGUUAGUAGUUAAUACCUGCUAGCUGUGACGUUACUGACAGAAGAAGCACCGGC
RNAcentral lists this ribosomal RNA (217 nucleotides) under Pseudoalteromonas nigrifaciens. RNAcentral's name for it is "partial 16S rRNA". It matches the Rfam family "Bacterial small subunit ribosomal RNA", at positions 287 to 497 of the family's 1533-position model. Lineage: Bacteria; Pseudomonadati; Pseudomonadota; Gammaproteobacteria; Alteromonadales; Pseudoalteromonadaceae. The record is from RNAcentral.